UUCUGGGCUAGUAUUGUCUUAGACUCUCCUGGCAUGCUGUAGUCACGUGGCCCCUUGCAUUGCGAAGAUUGUAAACGUGGAUCCGUGAAAUGUUGCUUUGCCUUUUACUUUGCCAUCUGGAUUUCAUUCUCUCAGUUCCCACACCUGAGUUCAGGGUCCUAAGUGAUGCAUCAAGAGCCAACCCCCCCUUUUCAGAUCUCAUUCUUCACUCGGCACUGCAAGAUUAACGUCACAUCUACACUGUAGCAGCUUGUAAGGUGUUUCCAACUUGCUGAGUUAGAUGAUGAAAAAGAAAAAAGGUCUGGUGCUGUUCUAGAUCAUACAAUGGGAAGUCAUCACAGCAACCAGAAAUUUCUCAAAUAUAGAAGGGUCAGUAAGACACUAACUGGCAGCAGACGUAUGGUAAUAUGAGCCCUAAAGAAGUGAAUAUGUAAAGGUUUUCUUCUUUUUUGCAUAUUCAUCCGACAUGCACCAAAAAGAGCUUUCUGUCACAGUCAGCCAUGUUGGAACAGUAAGGUUACCUUUCCCAGGAGUCCGAGCCCUUUUGGGACCAUCUUUUGUGUGCUACAGUUUAGGACAAGCGACCGAAGAUCCCCUGCUGUGGAGAAUUACGAACUCCGGCACUUGAGUGUGAUGGAGAUGAGGUGCCCCCGCGCACGAGGCCACUCUGACAUGAAGACUGAAGAUUGCUUCUAACUGAAGAUAAUUGAGAAAGAGCAAACUGCAGAAAAAGCUCUUUACCCUCCCGCUUUUUCUUAAAAGCAGUGCAUAAAUUCUUCUUUGUGAUGGCAUCCCCACCCCUCUCCCCUACCAAGAAGAUCAGAAUGACUUUUAAUCACUGGGGAUGACUCCUGCCUGCCCAGAGAGGCACUAAGAGGAAUCGCGUGACAAACUUUACUAAAAUAACCCGUAUCUUCCAACAGUUUUCCCAUAUAUUUACCUUCCCAUACUUUACUGUCCCUUAAAGCUCAAAACCUCUUUUGCCUUGUCACUUCUCCAGAAAGUUAUAGCCCUUUGUUCAAAUGGUAUAUAAAUCUCCAGGUCUGACUACCUCUUUGGGGUUUUCAUUUUAUUUCUGUGAGCCACCCCCCCCCCAGCCCCGCCCCGCCAGCAUCUGAAAUAAACUUCUUCUGUGAGUCUGUCUUUUGUCA
RNAcentral lists this long non-coding RNA (1151 nucleotides) under Ursus maritimus (polar bear). Its description in RNAcentral is "lncRNA (ENSUMAG00000009797.1)". The record is from RNAcentral. Lineage: Eukaryota; Metazoa; Chordata; Mammalia; Carnivora; Ursidae.